This 77-nucleotide non-coding RNA is filed under the name Spodoptera frugiperda (fall armyworm). Lineage: Eukaryota; Metazoa; Arthropoda; Insecta; Lepidoptera; Noctuidae. The record is from RNAcentral.
GUUCAAUUCCUGCUGGAUAACAUCAAAACAUUUGUUUUCGAACAAGGCAAAGCAACAUUAUCGGCAGGAAAAUAUAG